This 357-nucleotide ribosomal RNA is filed under the name uncultured bacterium. RNAcentral's name for it is "bacterial SSU rRNA". It matches the Rfam family "Bacterial small subunit ribosomal RNA", at positions 451 to 806 of the family's 1533-position model. The record is from RNAcentral.
GUGUGGGACGUGUCCUAUUUUGUAUGUACCUUAUGAAUAAGGAUCGGCUAACUCCGUGCCAGCAGCCGCGGUAAUACGGAGGAUCCGAGCGUUAUCCGGAUUUAUUGGGUUUAAAGGGUGCGUAGGCGGCCUUUUAAGUCAGCGGUGAAAGUCUGUGGCUCAACCAUAGAAUUGCCGUUGAAACUGGGGGGCUUGAGUAUGUUUGAGGCAGGCGGAAUGCGUGGUGUAGCGGUGAAAUGCUUAGAUAUCACGCAGAACCCCGAUUGCGAAGGCAGCCUGCCAAGCCAUGACUGACGCUGAUGCACGAAAGCGUGGGGAUCAAACAGGAUUAGAUACCCUGGUAGUCCACGCAGUAAA